UCUUUUUCCACCGGAGCUUGCUCCACCGGAAAAAGAAGAGUGGCGAACGGGUGAGUAACACGUGGGUAACCUGCCCAUCAGAAGGGGAUAACACUUGGAAACAGGUGCUAAUACCGUAUAACAAUCGAAACCGCAUGGUUUUGAUUUGAAAGGCGCUUUCGGGUGUCGCUGAUGGAUGGACCCGCGGUGCAUUAGCUAGUUGGUGAGGUAACGGCUCACCAAGGCCACGAUGCAUAGCCGACCUGAGAGGGUGAUCGGCCACAUUGGGACUGAGACACGGCCCAAACUCCUACGGGAGGCAGCAGUAGGGAAUCUUCGGCAAUGGACGAAAGUCUGACCGAGCAACGCCGCGUGAGUGAAGAAGGUUUUCGGAUCGUAAAACUCUGUUGUUAGAGAAGAACAAGGAUGAGAGUAACUGUUCAUCCCUUGACGGUAUCUAACCAGAAAGCCACGGCUAACUACGUGCCAGCAGCCGCGGUAAUACGUAGGUGGCAAGCGUUGUCCGGAUUUAUUGGGCGUAAAGCGAGCGCAGGCGGUUUCUUAAGUCUGAUGUGAAAGCCCCCGGCUCAACCGGGGAGGGUCAUUGGAAACUGGGAGACUUGAGUGCAGAAGAGGAGAGUGGAAUUCCAUGUGUAGCGGUGAAAUGCGUAGAUAUAUGGAGGAACACCAGUGGCGAAGCGGCUCUCUGGUCUGUAACUGACGCUAAGGCUCGAAAGCGUGGGGAGCAAACAGGAUUAGAUACCCUGGUAGUCCACGCCGUAAACGAUGAGUGCUAAGUGUUGGAGGGUUUCCGCCCUUCAGUGCUGCAGCUAACGCAUUAAGCACUCCGCCUGGGG
This 836-nucleotide ribosomal RNA is filed under the name Enterococcus durans. RNAcentral's name for it is "bacterial SSU rRNA". It matches the Rfam family "Bacterial small subunit ribosomal RNA", at positions 70 to 878 of the family's 1533-position model. Lineage: Bacteria; Bacillati; Bacillota; Bacilli; Lactobacillales; Enterococcaceae. The record is from RNAcentral.